AGCAUGCUGGAGUCGACUCGGCUGAAGUAGGAGUCGACUCGGCUGAAACAGGAGUCACUUGUGAAUAGUAGUCUGUCGGCACUGUAGCUGGGAGUCGGCUCCGCACUGUAGCACUGAAGUUGGAGUCGACUCGAGAUCACCGUAGCGUUGAAAAUCAACUUUCUGUUUUUUUUGUUUGUUCUCAGUCGGAGUCGACUCGUAGAGUAUCGGAGUCGACUCGAGCACUGUUUCUUGAAACUCUAGAGUGCCAGAGUCGACUCUAAACUUCCCGGAGUCGACUCGAGGACUAUUCUUUUGAAUCUUUCUUUGAAUUUGCUCCUUCAACU
This 326-nucleotide long non-coding RNA is filed under the name Phoenix dactylifera (date palm). Its description in RNAcentral is "long non-coding RNA (PDAC_LNC016924)". Lineage: Eukaryota; Viridiplantae; Streptophyta; Magnoliopsida; Arecales; Arecaceae. The record is from RNAcentral.